UAACUCCUGGGCUGCUCGAUAUCUUGCAUUUUUUUGAGCCUACAUUAUGACGUACGGGAUUCCUAUAUUGUUAGAUGGAUGUCAGGCCUCCUUUUGAGUGGAAGGCAGAAGUCUAAUUGCGGUUGCCCACCUAGCAUGGCUAGGAGUCAAUGGUGUGAGAGUCGGCACUCUGGGAUUACA
Molecule: non-coding RNA, 180 nt
Filed under: bacterium
Lineage: Bacteria
Description: 6S RNA
Rfam family: 6S / SsrS RNA
About the family: E. coli 6S RNA was the first non coding RNA to be sequenced, but its function was unknown until recently. It consists of 184 nucleotides that fold into an extended hairpin structure with a large single-stranded internal bulge.
Source: RNAcentral